GCACUGCCGAGGGGUCCCACAAUAGGACAAAACGGCCGUCCAGUGC
Schistosoma mansoni is the source of this 46-nucleotide non-coding RNA. NCBI's taxonomy places the organism in Eukaryota, Metazoa, Platyhelminthes, Trematoda, Strigeidida, Schistosomatidae. The record is from Rfam.